This 254-nucleotide ribosomal RNA is filed under the name uncultured bacterium. RNAcentral describes it as "partial 16S ribosomal RNA". It matches the Rfam family "Bacterial small subunit ribosomal RNA", at positions 524 to 777 of the family's 1533-position model. The record is from RNAcentral.
UACGAAGGGGGCUAGCGUUGUUCGGAAUCACUGGGCGUAAAGCGCACGUAGGCGGAUCUUUAAGUCAGGGGUGAAAUCCCGAGGCUCAACCUCGGAACUGCCUUUGAUACUGGGGAUCUCGAGUCCGGGAGAGGUGAGUGGAACUGCGAGUGUAGAGGUGAAAUUCGUAGAUAUUCGCAAGAACACCAGUGGCGAAGGCGGCUCACUGGCCCGGUACUGACGCUGAGGCACGAAAGCGUGGGGAGCAAACAGGG